Leptidea sinapis is the source of this 1356-nucleotide long non-coding RNA. RefSeq lists it as uncharacterized. The transcript has 3 exons. NCBI's taxonomy places the organism in Eukaryota, Metazoa, Arthropoda, Insecta, Lepidoptera, Pieridae. The record is from RefSeq and is a predicted model, not a curated record.
GCUCGAACAUUUUUGUGGUUUUUUGUGAAAAUAUUGAAUUUUAACAUGCCGAAAGUGAUCAAAAGUGAUAUCAGAGAGGUGUUGCUAAAGGUAAAAGAGUUUUUCUUAAAAGAAAAACAAGCUACAGCUCCGAUUAUUCCAUUUGAAAAGGUAAAUGAUCGAGUCGCCGCUGCUACAGGCAUAUCACUGCGCACAGUGACAAGAAUUAUAGGUGAAGGAAGAUUGGCCGAAGCUUCAUCAAGUAAAAUUGUUACACCAGGGAAGAACAGGAAAAAAAGGAAAGACAAAAUAUUGAUGGAUGAUUUUGAUAUUAGUGUUUUGCGGCGUAAAAUCCAUGAAUUUUAUACUAUGAAAAGGAAAUUCCUACAGCGAAUAAAUUAUAUUGUGCUCUUAAGGAAGACAUUGGAUUUAAAGGCAGGGUAAAGGUUUAUAAUAGUCCAUGCUGGCGGUGAGCAAGGCUUUGUGGAGAAUGCCUGCUUGGUAUUUAAAUCACAAACAAAAAGUGGAGAUUAUCAUGAUGACAUGAAUCACACAAAUUUCAAAAAAUGGGUUACUGAAAAUGUAGCAUCCAAUUUAAACCAACCGAGUCUUAUUGUGAUGGAUAAUGCUCCAUAUCACAAUACAAGCAUAAACAAAGCACCUAACACAAAUUCAAGAAAGGGAGUAAUACAGGAAUGGUUAUCAAGAAAUCAUAUUGAAUAUUCACCACUAUACAAUACCACCAAUUAUUGGAAAUUGUAAAAAUAAAUAAGCCGGAUCAGGCCACAAGGUAUUUUACUAAUAUAUUGUCACCUAAUAUAAUAUUAACAAAUAUAUUUUUAUUUAAUCUCCGGAAUCGAAUGAUAACAGUUUGGUAUUUAAAGGAUACAAGAUUACUUGAUGCAAUAAAAAGGUAUUGCGUUUACCACCAUAUCAUUGUGAUCUCAACCCCAUUGAAAUGGUCUGGGCUUCAAUGAAACGCAAAGUGGCUAUGGUGAACAUUGGGAAAGUGGCUAAUGUAAUGCCAAGUAUGGUAAUGAAUGCAUUUAAUGCUAUUACUGUUGGGGAGUGGCGCAAUUAUUGUUCGCACGUCAAAAAAAUACAAAAAGAGUAUCACAUAAGGGACGCGCAUUUGGACGUACCAUUCAUCAUAAUAAUAAUAUUGACACACUUUUUACACAAAUUAUCUUGCCCCAAGUCAAGCAUAUAUAGCCUGUGUUAUGGGUUACAAGACAAUGAUAUAUUUAAUACAAUAUACUUACUUAAACAUACAUAAAUUUAUAUAAACAUACAUAAAUACAUUUAAACAUCCAUGACUCGGAAACAAUCAGUCAUAGACUUAGCCUCUGAUAGUGAAGAAAGCAGCGAUAGUGAAGA